GCACUGCUGACGAGUCCCACAAUAGGACGAAACGGCCGUCCAGUGC
Non-coding RNA from Schistosoma haematobium, 46 nucleotides. NCBI's taxonomy places the organism in Eukaryota, Metazoa, Platyhelminthes, Trematoda, Strigeidida, Schistosomatidae. The record is from Rfam.